GCGCAUCCCGCGCUUUGGGAGAGUAGGUCCUGAGGCCGGUUGGAACUCCUAGGUGUGGUUGGGUGCCCAACUCCGAGGAAUAUUUUGUUUUCAAGCGUUGAAAGGGGAAGAGAGGAGGACCAUUUACCACAUUUAGGAACGCUACCCUCAGACCUGCGCAAGGGGGAGGAUUGAGGCUCCAGCUUCUUUGUGGGGAGGCGCUGAAUAGAGGAGUUGACUCGCUUAGGGCCCUUCCUGUCCGAAAGUCUGUGUGAUUUAUCCUUCCUGCACCCUCACUCACGGAGGGCGGGCUGCCAUUGCCCCCUGCCUGCAACACAAGCAAGAGGAAGGAAGAAAGGAAUCAGAAACUGCGAGUGGAAAAACUACCUCGUUUUAGAAUUUAUUCGAUGUAUAUUUAUGAAGGGCCUGCUAAAUGCCAGGCACUUUUGCUAGGCGUUGCCAUAGGGAUAUUGAAACAGACCUAGAGAAGCUUGGUUAAAAAAAAAAAAAAAAAAAAAAAUCAAGCCUCCUGACUCCACGCUCAGCAUUUCUUCCCUCAAGUCUUUGAAUAUGCAGGACUCAAGGGGCUGUGAGUUUAAAUCCUGGAAGGAUUUCUCAGGACUUUAUUGAGAUAUGUAAGCUGAAAAAACACUAUGGGCUAAGGAACACAAGCUAUCAAGAAAAAAAAGCCUUCCCUUUUCUUCCUAGCAAGAGUACAGGAUCAUAAUCUAACACUCCUAGCGGGACCUGGGGCAGCACUGAGUAACCAUACUGAUAUUUCUGCAGGAAAGCAUAUGAAUAUUCAUACUAGUUGGGUAAUUUAUGAAUAUUCAUACUAAAACAAAUAGCUUCACUUUAUAUUUUUGCCGCCAAAUUUCUUGGUAAAAAGGAAGUCCUGUCUUCACAGUUUUGUGAAUUUUCCAACAAGGGACUGUGGAGCUGAAUGAUAAUAGCCAGCAUUUAUUGGGAAUUAAAAUGUGUUAACAUUUACUGAGUAAAAAAAGAAAAAAAAAACAUUUAUUGAGUGCCUAAUAUGUGCCAAGGGCUUUAUAUACUUUGUCUUCUUUAUUCCUUUCAACAAACUUGUGAAGUGAGUAUUGUUAUUAGUUCCUUCUGAUAGGUGGCAUAUUAUUACAGCUUGGAACUCUCUCACACUAUCACAUUGCACCUUGUACUAAUUAUGGUAUAUAAAGGUACAGCUAAUUUGAUACCUGUUGCUUCCUACUCCCCACCCCUAUUUCUUGGGACUUUAGAUCAUGUGUUAUCUAUGAAUCUAGCAGGGGCCCUGUCAUAAACAUAGGUACUUAACAGGAAGCAAAAUGAAUUGAUAUGCUAUACAGAUUUCGUGUUUUGUUGGUAUAGUGUUUUACCUCUCUAUAAUAAAAAUGCCCAAAUAUCUGUGAAAGGAUUCUCAAGAAACUGGCAAUAGUGGUUGCCGCUUGAUGAUUUGGUUGCAACAUACAUAUGUACACACACAUAUUCACACACUUGUACCUUUUAUAUGUGCUGUGCAUCUAUUGUCUAUUCAAAGUAUACAUUUCAUUUGUUUUUCAACGAUUCCAGAAUUUUUCUUGGUUAUUACUUAGAUGAUCAAAAGUCAACUCACAGGGUAACCUCAACCAAAGAAAAACACUACUCCACACCGUCUCCAGGGCUACAGACUGCAGAGGCCCAUGGUGGUUUGGUUACUCAUCUGUCCAGUUACUGCAUGACAUUCUCUGGGAUGUAAGCAUGGAGUAACCUUCAUCUCCAGGACUUGACAGUCCGUGAUUAUUGAAGAAAUGGUGAACAGAAUGGAAAUUAAGACAUGGUAGCCAGUUGCCCUUCCCCUUAUCAUGGAUCACUUCCUUUUCCUCAGAAAUGCGUUUUCUUUCCAAAGGGCUGGCCAGCCUUGUACAAAGACUCAUCAACUCAAGGCCUGAAGGGCUGCAACUGCUUAAAGGACCAGCUCACUAACUCCCAAGGGAACUCCAGAAGGCCUAUAAACUGGGAAGAAGAAGGACCAGGGAGAGGCUAGCAGGACUUUGUGAACUGGCAUUGCUUGGUCCAGUGCUACUUUUUUCAAGGCAAUACCUGGCGCUUUUCCCUGGCAGCUUGGCCAGAGGGCAAGAGUGCUUUCUGGAGCCAGUCCCAUGGCCUCUGGGGAUAGAUGACACAACCAAGCAGUCUCCGUGGGAGAACUGGGAGAUGGGAACUUGGAUCCAAGCCUCUCUCCUCCCCAACACACUGGACUGCACAGAGCCAUCUCUUAGUGCAGCAGUUUGGUAGCACCUUACUUAUGGCAACCUGGCAAACACUCUUCCCCAGGACAGAGGCCAGCAAGUACCCUGGAGUUUAGGUCACUGCUGUGCCUCAACCUUCUCUAAAUCGAUACGUCGUGAAGUUGGUCCUUCCCUAAGGUCCUGUGUCCCACUGCUGUCUGGAGUGCCUCUCCUCCCCAGUGCCUAGCCUUUUGUCUUGGGGUGCCAGGAACAGAUGAAGAACUCCCACCCAGGUUGUAAAUUGGGGACUGAACAGAAAAAUCAGCUUGGACUGGGUAUCUUGAGACUUCUGAUUAUAGGUAAUAAUAGCUAAAUUAAAAUUUUUAAAGAAAAUAUGUAUUGUUAUUACAUAUAUCAAUACAUCUUUAUAUUACAUUUAUUAAUACUGUACAUGUAUAUUAAAAAUCUGUACAUGUAUAUAUUACAUGUAUUAUCAUUUGCAUAUGUGAAUGAGUGAUGUUGCUCAGUUGUGUCCAGUUUUGUGACCCCAUUGACUGUAGCCUUCCAGGGUUGCCAUUUCCUUCUGCAAAAGGUGAUAUUUUUGACAUCUUAAUAAAGGUCUUUGUAGAUUC
This is a long non-coding RNA of Bubalus bubalis (water buffalo), 2812 nucleotides long. RefSeq lists it as uncharacterized. The record is from RefSeq and is a predicted model, not a curated record. Lineage: Eukaryota; Metazoa; Chordata; Mammalia; Artiodactyla; Bovidae. The transcript is spliced from 2 exons.